This 238-nucleotide unclassified non-coding RNA is filed under the name rhizosphere metagenome. Its description in RNAcentral is "partial ribosomal RNA internal transcribed spacer region". The record is from RNAcentral.
GUAGGUGAACCUGCGGAAGGAUCAUUAAAAACGCUGGAUCUCGUCAGGGGCGGAAACGUCGCUGGCGGGGCACAUCCGCCGUCCUUUGUAUAAUUUACCUUUGUUGCUUUGGCAGGUCGCCCUUGGGCCAGCGGCUUCGGCUGUUGCGUGCCUGCCAGAGAACCACAACUCUUGAUUUUAGUGAUGUCUGAGUACUAUAUAAUAGUUAAAACUUUCAACAACGGAUCUCUUGGUUCUG